GGGAGAUGGGCCUGGCUGCCGGAAACUAGAGAGAAGGAUCUUAAACUCAACUACCCACAUUAUUACCACAAGUGGUCUCUGCAGCAUCUAUAGAUAAGAACUGGACAGAACUGAAUGAUGCCUGCUGUUUUCUGAGGGCAUGUCUACUUGGGGACACUCACGAAAGAUUCCCAAUGAAACUAAAGACUGAGCAAAGAUGAGGUUGAAGUCAGUCCCUUCUGAUGAAAUUUCCCUGUCAACAGCCAGUAUGAAUAGAAGAAAUUUUCUCAUCUGACUGGAUUUUUUUUGAUGGAUUCCUUUCCUUGAGAUGGUGGAAGACGAAGACAGGAAACGUGCUCAAGGUCUAUAAAAAGCUCUAGGAAGGACUACUGAAUCCACAUGGGCUACUGUGGAACAAUGACUCUGUUGACUGCUUCCCUCCCACAUGAAGAGGUUACAUGCAGAAGUGCUUGUCCAAUGAUCCUGGAUUCUGGGGUGACGGGAUUAAAAUCCCUGACAAGAAGAAACUCAAUCUUUUACGCAGUCUGGGCUCUGAGGUAAAAGAUUCCUAAACAUAAGCAAGAGAUCCGCAUGCUGCUUGGCAUGGGUCAGCUCUA
Mauremys reevesii (Reeves's turtle) is the source of this 596-nucleotide long non-coding RNA. RefSeq lists it as uncharacterized. The record is from RefSeq and is a predicted model, not a curated record. Lineage: Eukaryota; Metazoa; Chordata; Testudines; Geoemydidae. The transcript has 5 exons.